This 1266-nucleotide long non-coding RNA is filed under the name Solanum tuberosum (potato). RNAcentral's name for it is "long non-coding RNA (STUB_LNC004321)". Lineage: Eukaryota; Viridiplantae; Streptophyta; Magnoliopsida; Solanales; Solanaceae. The record is from RNAcentral.
UGGAGGAUGUGUGAACUACCUUCACCCGAGGAAAAUAAUCCAACACAACUGACUGCUUAAUAACCGAAAAGGUGGCUGAAAUCAGAGACUGACUUGCAACUAUUGCAGCUAAUGUGGCUAUCACAAAAAUUGGCCAGUACACAGCAGAUGGUAUAAACUUGUAAAAUCCAUCAAAAUGGUCAUCGGGAUUUCUAAUCAGAUAUGCCGUCUGUCCUGCAUAUGUCAGCACCAAUGAUGGAUAUAUAGUACAGAAAAAUGCUAUCUGCCAGAAAACAAGGUUCCUUAAAUCAUAUAAACAAGCAAGAAGAAGAGACUAAGAGAAAUUCCAAGACGUCGCAAGUAUUUUUACCCGAAUUGAACUCCUGUUGAAAUGACCAAGAUCAGCAAACAUUGCUUCAGAACCUGAAAAAUUAAUGAUAUGAUUGUACUAUUAAACAAAGGAUAUUUUACUAAUCUGCUUGUCUACAUUCUAACAUCUUUAUAGCCUUCCCAAGGUGCGGGAAACAAGAAGAUCAGCAUCUGUUGAAAACAAAUAAAGGAUUUCCCUUUUAGUUAGUGACUGCAGGGACAUUCCAUAUUCUUUAUAAUAUUUUCCACCUCCACUCAUCUCCUUGCGAGUUUCUCUGGAUAUGAAACAAGACACCAGGUCUAAGCUUUUCCGGCCAUGGGUAGACAUUGCACACAUGAUAAUUGGUCCAAAAUUUUGCCCAAUCUUAAUAGCAAAGUAAUAGGGAAAGAAAGUAAAAGAACUCAAAACAUGAGGAAAUGGAUUUAUAUCUUAAUCAAAAUGAAGAACUUUUGCAGACCACACCAACAACAAGGCUUACCUGUAAUGCAUAGGACAGUACCACCAAGAUAUAUCCAUCCUUGUUUUCCCCCUAAGAAUGAAAGAUUAAAAGCAGAGGGUUUAGAGAAUCUUACCGAAGGCAUUUCCGAUGUCUUGUCCAUCUCCGAAAACUAGUAUGACUGCAACACAGAGAAUCAUGAGGAUGUAGUUAACUUCUGGUGAGUAAACCUCGCCUUCUUUGCUGGAGGAUGUGUGAACUACCUUCACCCGAGGAAAAUAAUCCAACACAACUGACUGCUUAAUAACCGAAAAGGUGGCUGAAAUCAGAGACUGACUUGCAACUAUUGCAGCUAAUGUGGCUAUCACAAAAAUUGGCCAGUACACAGCAGAUGGUAUAAACUUGUAAAAUCCAUCAAAAUGGUCAUCGGGAUUUCUAAUCAGAUAUGCCGUCUGUCCUGCAUAUGUCAGCACCAAUGAUG